RNAcentral lists this ribosomal RNA (338 nucleotides) under Aphanocapsa sp. Ind51. Its description in RNAcentral is "bacterial SSU rRNA". It matches the Rfam family "Bacterial small subunit ribosomal RNA", at positions 559 to 880 of the family's 1533-position model. Lineage: Bacteria; Bacillati; Cyanobacteriota; Cyanophyceae; Chroococcales; Microcystaceae. The record is from RNAcentral.
CGUAAAGCGUCCGAUAGGUGGCCAGGUAAGUCUGCUGUCAAAGACUAACAGCUUAACUGUGGAAAGGCAGUGGAAACUGCAGGGCUAGGAGUGCGGUAGGGGUAGAGGGAAUUCCAGGUGUAGCGGUGAAAUGCGUAGCAUCUCUGGAAGAACACCGGUGGCGAAAGCGCUCUACUGCGGCCGAAACUGACACUGAGGGACCAAAGCUAGGGGAGCGAAAGGGAUUUAGAUACCCCCUGUAUUCCUAGCCGUAAACGAAUGGAUACUUAGGUGUAGCAACGUAUCAACCCCCGUGCUGUAUCGGAAGGCCAACGCGUUUAAGUAUCCUGCCUUGGGGA